This 239-nucleotide long non-coding RNA is filed under the name Mytilus galloprovincialis (Mediterranean mussel). Lineage: Eukaryota; Metazoa; Mollusca; Bivalvia; Mytilida; Mytilidae. The record is from RNAcentral.
UCUGAAACUACUGGGCCAAAUUAAACCAAACUUGGCCACAAUGGUCAUUGGGGUAUCUAGUUUAAAAAAUGUGUGGCGUGACCCGGCCAACCAACCAAGAUGGCCGCCAUGGCUAAAAAUAGAACAUAGGGGUAAAAUGCAGUUUUUGGCUUAUAACUUAAAAACCAAAGCAUUUAGAGCAAAUCUGACAUGGUAAUAUUGUUUAUCAGGUCAAGAUCUUUCUGCCCUGAAAUUUUCAG